This 485-nucleotide ribosomal RNA is filed under the name uncultured Clostridium sp. RNAcentral describes it as "bacterial SSU rRNA". It matches the Rfam family "Bacterial small subunit ribosomal RNA", at positions 1 to 507 of the family's 1533-position model. The record is from RNAcentral. Lineage: Bacteria; Bacillati; Bacillota; Clostridia; Eubacteriales; Clostridiaceae.
ACGAGUUUUCGACGUCCGUGGCACAGGACACGCUGGCGGCGUGCCUAACACAUGCAAGUCGAGCGAUGAAGUUCCUUUGGGAACGGAUUAGCGCGGACGGGUGAGUAACACGUGGGUAACCUGCCUUAUAGAGGGGGAUAGCUUCCGAAAGAGGAUUAAUACCGCAUAAAGUUGUUGAUUCGCAUGGAUCGAUAACCAAAGGAGCAAUCCGCUAUAAGAUGGACCCGCGGCGCAUUAGCUAGUUGGUGAGGUAGAAGCUCACCAAGGCGACGAUGCGUAGCCGACCUGAGAGGGUGAUCGGCCACAUUGGGACUGAGACACGGCCCAGACUCCUACGGGAGGCAGCAGUGGGGAAUAUUGCACAAUGGGGGAAACCCUGAUGCAGCAACGCCGCGUGAGUGAGUGAAGGCCUUCGGGUUUGUAAAGCUCUGUCUUUGGGGACGAUAAUGACGGUACCCAAGGAGGAAGCCACGGCUAACUACGUG